Picea glauca (white spruce) is the source of this 568-nucleotide non-coding RNA. The record is from Rfam. NCBI's taxonomy places the organism in Eukaryota, Viridiplantae, Streptophyta, Pinopsida, Pinales, Pinaceae.
CUCAAUGGAUAAAAGUUACUCUAGGGAUAACAAGCUGAUCUUCCCCAAGAGUUCACAUUGACAAGAAGGUUUGGCACCUCGAUGUCGGCUCUUCGCCACCUGGGGCGAUAGUACAUUCCAAGGGUUGGGAUGUUCGCCCAUUAAAGCGGUACGUGAGAUGGGUUCAGAACGUCAUGAGACAGUUUGGUCCAUAUCUGGUGUGGGUGUUAGAGCAUUGAGAGGACCUUUCCCUAGUACAAGAGGACCGGGAAGGAUGCACCUCUGGUGUACCAGUUAUCGUGCCCACAGUAGACGCUGGGUAGCCAAGUGCAGAGCGGAUAACUACUGAAAUCAUAUAAGUAGGAAGCCCACCCCAAGAUGAGUGCUCUCCUAUUAUUACUUCUCUGAGAACCCUAGUCGCGAACACGGCUGGGACAAUGACGGGUUCUCUGUCCUUGUUGGGGAUGGAGGGACAAAAGUAUUGAGAAUCCAAGAUAAGGUCACGGCGAGACGAGUCGUUUAUCAUUACGAUAGGUGUCAAGUGGAAGUGCAGUGAUGUAUGUAGUUGAGGCAUCCUAACAGACUGAUA